GGCAGUUUGGCAUAGUGGUUUAAGUGCUGAAGUAUGAUUCUGGAAACCAGGAUUCAAAUCCCUGCUCUGUUA
This is a non-coding RNA of Phrynosoma platyrhinos (Desert horned lizard), 72 nucleotides long. The record is from the annotation of a GenBank genome assembly. Lineage: Eukaryota; Metazoa; Chordata; Lepidosauria; Squamata; Phrynosomatidae.